Molecule: ribosomal RNA, 589 nt
Filed under: Paenibacillus taichungensis
Lineage: Bacteria; Bacillati; Bacillota; Bacilli; Caryophanales; Paenibacillaceae
Description: bacterial SSU rRNA
Rfam family: Bacterial small subunit ribosomal RNA
Source: RNAcentral
CAGCCUAUACAUGCAGUUCGAGCGGACUUGAAGAAGAAGCUUGCUUUCUCUGAUGGUUAGCGGCGGACGGGUGAGUAACACGUAGGCAACCUUGCCCUCAAGUUUGGGACAACUACCGGAAACGGUAGCUAAUACCGAAUAGUUGUUUUCUUCUCCUGAAGAGAACUGGAAAGACGGAGCAAUCUGUCACUUGGGGAUGGGCCUGCGGCGCAUUAGCUAGUUGGUGGGGUAACGGCUCACCAAGGCGACGAAUCGUAACCCGACCUGAGAGGGUGAUCGGCCACACUGGGACUGAGACACGGCCCAGACUCCUACGGGAGGCAGCAGUAGGGAAUCUUCCGCAAUGGGCGAAAGCCUGACGGAGCAAUGCCGCGUGAGUGAUGAAGGUUUUCGGAUCGUAAAGCUCUGUUGCCAGGGAAGAACGCUUGGGAGAGUAACUGCUCUCAAGGUGACGGUACCUGAGAAGAAAGCCCCGGCUAACUACGUGCCAGCAGCCGCGGUAAUACGUAGGGGGCAAGCGUUGUCCGGAAUUAUUGGGCGUAAAGCGCGCGCAGGCGGUCAUUUAAGUCUGGUGUUUAAUCCCGGGGCU